Molecule: ribosomal RNA, 469 nt
Filed under: uncultured bacterium
Lineage: Bacteria
Description: bacterial SSU rRNA
Rfam family: Bacterial small subunit ribosomal RNA
Source: RNAcentral
UCCAGACUCCUACGGGAGGCAGCAGUGGGGAAUAUUGCACAAUGGGCGCAAGCCUGAUGCAGCCAUGCCGCGUGUAUGAAGAAGGCCUUCGGGUUGUAAAGUACUUUCAGCGGGGAGGAAGGUGUUGAGGUUAAUAACCUCAGCAAUUGACGUUACCCGCAGAAGAAGCACCGGCCAACUCCGUGCCAGCAGCCGCGGUAAUACGGAGGGUGCAAGCGUUAAUCGGAAUUACUGGGCGUAAAGCGCACGCAGGCGGUCUGUCAAGUCGGAUGUGAAGUCCCCGGGCUCAACCUGGGAACUGCAUUCGAAACUGGCGGGCUGGAGUCUGGUAGAGGGGGGUAGAAUUCCAGGUGUAGGGGUGAAAUGCGUAGAGAUCGGGGGGAAUACCGGUGGCGAGGGCGGCCCCCUGGCCAAAGACUGACGCUCAGGUGCGAAAGCGGGGGGAGCAAACAGGAUUGAUACCCUGGUA